CCUACGGAGGGGCAGCAGUGAGGAACAUUGGUCAAUGGGCGCGAGCCUGAACCAGCCAAGUAGCGUGAAGGAUGACUGCCCUACGGGUUGUAAACUUCUUUUAUAAAGGAAUAAAGUGAGGCACGUGUGCCUUUUUGUAUGUACUUUAUGAAUAAGGAUCGGCUAACUCCGUGCCAGCAGCCGCGGUAAUACGGAGGAUCCGAGCGUUAUCCGGAUUUAUUGGGUUUAAAGGUAGCGUAGAUGGGUUGUUAAGUCAGUUGUGAAAGUUUGCGGCUCAACCGUAAAAUUGCAAUUGAGACUGUCAGCCUUGAUUACAGUUGAGGUAGGCGGAAUUCGUGGUGUAGCGGGGAAAUGCUGAGAUAUCACGAAGAACUCCGAUUGCGAAGGCAGCUUACUAAACUGCCACUGACAUUGAUGCUCGAAAGUGUGGGUAUCAAACAGGAUUAGAUACCCCAGUAGUC
Molecule: ribosomal RNA, 461 nt
Filed under: uncultured bacterium
Lineage: Bacteria
Description: partial 16S ribosomal RNA
Rfam family: Bacterial small subunit ribosomal RNA
Source: RNAcentral